This 2158-nucleotide long non-coding RNA is filed under the name Marmota monax (woodchuck). The record is from RNAcentral. Lineage: Eukaryota; Metazoa; Chordata; Mammalia; Rodentia; Sciuridae.
GCCAGAGGCCCUUGAGUGAGGCCAUAUCCCCGCUCCCUGUCCCCAGGGGUUGGCUGGUGGGGAGCCUAGAUGGGCCGUCCGCAGAGGUGAAGUGCGUUAGCAGGAAAAUGGGGGGGUCAGGAUGAAGUGCAGAGGGUGGCUCAUAGAAGGACCGGUGUCCGCUCCCCAGGGGAGGCAGAGCUAGGAAGGGCCGGCCUUUGGGGAGGCUGAUGGAGGGACCUGGGAACACCACUCUGGACUGUAUUUGUGACUCUUCUGAAAAUCUAAAUUUAUUCCCCAAUAAAAAGCUUAUUUAAAAACUUUCUAAGGGACAGAGGUGGAGGGCUACAGUUGACCAGGGAAGGGGGGUUCUGAGGCCAGCUGGGGAAGUCACAUAAAGGCCUCCAAGGUAACAGCUCCCCAUUCACUAGGCACCUACUGUCUACCAGGAAUUGCACACCUUGUCACCGAAGCCCUCACAAAAUUGGUCCAGCUUAUUAUGCCCGUGUCACAGAUGAGGAAACAGAGGCUCAGAGAAGCUUACAGUGCCUGCCCAGGGGCACACCAGACGUCGGUGGCAUCUGAACAGCUCCCUGCCGACCCCUGCCCCUGCUACCUCCUAACUCUCUCUCUCUAACUCUCCAGUCUCUCCUCCAGAUCACUGGAGCUUGGUGCUGGGUGGUCCGUUCACACUCACUGAAAACCCACCCCCACCAGGCCCCAGAGAGCAUCUGACUGUGUCUCCUUGGAGCCUGUGACACACCCUCUGCACACGUGGUGUGAGUUUUCUCUGGUUUAUAACUGACGUUCAGAGAGGUGAGGUAGCUCACCUAAGGUCACACAGGCAGGAAGUGGUGGGAACUUGACGCUGACCCAGGCCAUCUGGACCCUGUGACCCACCUGGAGGCAGACAAUUCAGAAUGCUCAGGAAGCAGCUCUGGGGAGUCUGGUGACCCCAGGAGCCCCUAGCAGAGGUGGCUUUGGGCAAAUCUACAUAGGAAAAUGAGUCUUCCCUCAACAGGUAAAUCAGGGAAUGACAUUUGACUUACAAAAGAAUUCACCCAAUGAGCUCUCCUUGAAGAUGGAAAUCGGAUUUUCUUUAGUCCUCUGGCUCUUUCUGAGCUGAGAGUCUGCUCUUGCUCACUGCCUUCAGGGCCGGCUAUUCUAAAGCUCUGAGCAAGGAGAGCCCCAGAGCCAAACUCAGGCCACUGCCCUUUUUCCCAAUGCUAGUGAGAAUCACUAACAGGAUACCCUCUCUCCACAGAAUCCCAGGUGUUCUGCACAGCGUUGUCAACUACCAGCACUUGUUACACAGAUUUCUAGAACUCUCCCAUCUUGCACAACUGAAUCUUGACCCCAUUGAAGAAUGACUCCCCAUUUCCCCUCCCCCCAAGCCUUGGCAACCACCCUCUACCGUCCGUUUUCACGAGUUUGGCUAUUUGAGAAACCUCUGAGAAGCAGCAUCCUGCGUAUUUGCCCUUCUGUGCCUGGCUUAUCCCACUUAGCCUUGUUUCCUCCAAGUUCAAGCCUGCUGACGCCCGUGACAGGAUUCCUCCUUCAAGGCCGCCUGGUACUCCACCGUGGGAAGACCACCCUUAUUCGUUUGUCUGCUAAUGGACAUUUGGGGAGAUUCCGUAUCUUGGCUCUUGUAAAUAAUGCUGCAAUGAAAAGUGUGGAAGCUUGGAUAUCUUUUCUGAUUUCAGGUUUAGGGGGUUUAUUCCCAGAUCUGAGGUUGCUGGACCAGGUAGGGGAAAAGUCCAUAUUUUCCAUCACGGCUACAUCCUCACAUUUCCACCAACAGUGCACAAAAUCCCCCUUUUCUCUGCAACCACACUAACACCUUCCUUUUAAUAGUAGUUGACAGAUAAACAUGCUCUCUCGUUGUGGUUUUAAUCUGCAUUUGCUCAAUGGUUAGUUAUGUGGAAUACCUUUUCGCAUACCUGUUAGUUAUUUGUAUGUUUUCCUUGGACAAACGUCAAUUCAGGUCCUUCACCUUUUUUUUUGGGGGGGGGGGGCGGAGGGUGAUUUAUUUUACUAUCGAGUUGCAGGCAUUCCUUGUAGAUUUUGGACACUGACCCUUUAUUAGACGUACGACUUGCAAACAUCUUCUCCCAUUCUGGAGGUGGUACUUUUCAUUCUGUGGAUGAUUUUCUUCGUGGGGCUGUUUUUGUAAAUAAAG